Molecule: non-coding RNA, 1092 nt
Organism: Cricetulus griseus (Chinese hamster)
Lineage: Eukaryota; Metazoa; Chordata; Mammalia; Rodentia; Cricetidae
Source: RefSeq, a predicted model, not a curated record
AGACAAUGGAGUGUUUUCAGUUCCAAACCCAGAGAAGAAGCAAGAAAAGGCUUUGCUGAGUGACCUGACCAUUCUGAAGAUUGUCUAAUAUUUUGGAAAAUGCAUAUAUCUUUAUAUUUGGAGUGGGAAAUUCCAAAUGGAAUGAAAAGUAUUUGGAGAAGCAAAGAAGUCUUUCUGGAAUAGUCUUCUGGCAGAAGAACAGAAUGUUUCUAAAGCAAACAAGACACGUGCUGAUGAGAGCCAGUGUUACCUUCUCCCUCCAGCUAUCAUCACUCAGCAGCUUCUGUCUCAGGGUUUCCUGCAUCUGCUCGAUGCUUUUCUGAUGGGCAACCAGCAUCAAUUCCCUGAAAACCACAAACCCAACAGAUGAGUCGGGACUCAGCCCUCAUGAUCCUCCAGAUUGCAAUUUCUGUCUCAGAGACGAUUCUUUCACAACAUAAUAUGCUUGUGCUCUUUAACAACGUAGCUAUUGCUUUGGAUUGAAAUCCCAGAGUCGCCUCUGACUUAUCAUUUCCCCUGCUUCAUCAUGGCCAUUCAAGAGCAGCUGGCUAGAAGAUAAGCCUUAACAAUUUCUUUUAAAAACUGAAGUCAAGGGUUGAGGAGGUGCUCAGUAAAGUGCUUGCCAUUACAAGCUUGAAGACCUGAGUUCAGAGCCUCAGAGCCCACAUGAAGCCAGACAUGCUGGCAUGUUUCUAUAACAUCAGAGCUCCUACAGCAAGAUGGAAGGCAGAUACAAGAAUCCCAGAAGCCCAAGAGCCUAUUAGCUUGGUGUACACAGGGGUGAAUAGAAGAUGCUGUCUCAGGCAAGGAGCCAUGUUGAGGUCCAUGGUCUGCGCUGUUGCUGGAGGCCGUGUGGAUGUCUGUCCAUGCUGUGGCCACAAACCAUGUGGAAGCUCAUGAUCUUCUACUGCCGGCUGCUAUGGGCAGGGAAGAUGCUUUUGCAAUGGUAUUGAUGACUGCAGACUCAUUAUUGAAAAUGAGAGACAUUGAGGACUUUUGUGACAAGCCCCCUCCAAAAAAAGAAGAGAAAGAAGCAGAAGAAAAAAGAGGAGGAGAAGAUGAAGAAGAAGGAGAAGGUGGUGAAGAAGGAGG